AUGUUAUCCUGCCAGGGAACUCGUCCAGCUUCAGACAUGAAGUACUGAGCAAACUUCUCCCUCACUGCCACAACAUCUCUGCCAGCAUUGUUGGUGCCAAGGCGAGGUGCGUUCUGGAGACCUUGUGAUGGCUCAGCUGUGGAUGUUCCAGUAGAUGACCUAGCCGGUAUUGUAGUGCUGGCAUCCCAUCUCAGAAAGUUAUGGAGCAUGCAGGUGGCCUUUACCACGUUCUCUGCCACUUCUGGAGAGACACACAGCACCCGACGUGUUGUAGCCAGGGUAUGGGCGCAUGAUGUUACGGCGCAAGGGGAAGGCUUCGUCUGCCAGAAACACAUGAGGCAUCGGGCCAAGAUGUUCUGCCCCUGGGAGGAUGGAGUCAUCCGGGAUACCCAAUGUGUUCUGCCGUAGGGCAGUACCAAAAGCGGAGGAGGAGAGGGUUCCCCCAUCAAUGUUUCUUCC
Gadus morhua (Atlantic cod) is the source of this 459-nucleotide long non-coding RNA. The record is from Ensembl. Lineage: Eukaryota; Metazoa; Chordata; Actinopteri; Gadiformes; Gadidae.